RNAcentral lists this ribosomal RNA (253 nucleotides) under uncultured bacterium. RNAcentral's name for it is "partial 16S ribosomal RNA". It matches the Rfam family "Bacterial small subunit ribosomal RNA", at positions 524 to 776 of the family's 1533-position model. The record is from RNAcentral.
UACGGAGGGUGCAAGCGUUACUCGGAAUUACUGGGCGUAAAGCGAGCGCAGGCGGCUUAUUAAGUCAGGUGUGAAAGCCCGGGGCUCAACCCCGGAACUGCACCUGAAACUGGUAGGCUUGAGGAUGAGAGAGGAAAGUAGAAUUUCUGGUGUAGAGGUGAAAUUCGUUGAUAUCAGAAGGAAUACCCGUGGCGAAGGCGGCUUUCUGGCUCAUUUCUGACGCUGAGGCUCGAAAGUGUGGGUAGCAAACAGG